Non-coding RNA from Heterocephalus glaber (naked mole-rat), 837 nucleotides. The record is from RefSeq and is a predicted model, not a curated record. Lineage: Eukaryota; Metazoa; Chordata; Mammalia; Rodentia; Bathyergidae.
AAAGAUCCAGUUUUUAAUCCCCAGUACUGUCAAAGGAAAAAAAAAAACGUGUAAAAUACUUAAAAUAAUUUGGUUUAGAUUCUACAUUCUGAAAAACCCAUUUUCUCCUUUUCAUUUUACAACAUAUUCUUUAGAAAAAAAAAAUGAUUCCAACAAUGCACAAUUCAUGGAAUAUAGGGUAAACAUCCUUUACUGCUUCCUAAUUCUACUUUUCAGGUAAAAAAAUUACUGUCAGUUUGACACAAUUUUCUAAACACUUUCCUAUACACUACUUCGUGUAGGCUCAUUCUGCCUGGAAAACUGAGAAUGGUACCAGGAGGGAAAAGGCCCAGAUGCCACCUGAACAUCAGCUGAACAGAGCGGCGAGACUGCAAGAGCAUUCGUUCGUUCGUUCUACAGUGAGGUGGAAGCCUUCUGACGACAGAAAGACAAAUCCUCUGGAACUAUGUCAAGAAAGGCAAUGGCAAAAAAGCUUCUCCAGCUAGAAAUAUGAUGCAAAGUAUAUCAAGCUACAAAGGAUGCUCUGGGAAAGACAGAGAAGACUGGAGGAAUCCUCCACACCUAAAUAAAUAAUAGCAACUUUGCUACUAACUGGUGUACGCAAGAGAAAGGAGACAGCUAUGGGCCGAGGAGCAGAAACGGUGUCCACCCGGUGAGCCCUUGUCUAAGAGGAAGCAAGCACACAGCUGCAUCAUCCCAGACCACGAGACCAGCUUUCCUGACCACUGGUGAGGGCGUACUCUUACCAGAGCGACGCGACCCCAAGCCCUGACAAUCUCGAGCCGGUCACCCGAAAAACUCGCUAAACAUUAAACCGCUCACGAGGUGAGAACUCAG